UUCCUGGUUCCGGUGGCGGGAUUUGUCUUCGUUGUGCAUGAACACUUCCGGCGCACUUCCACCAUGGCUGAAACAAAGGCGAGAUGUCACUGCUCUCUGUUCCACUUUAUACAUCUAACAAACAACACCAACCCUACUUAAGUUUUCAUGGAUUCCCGACUGAAAUGAGUCUAAGGAAGAAGUGGAUUCAAGCGGUUCGCCGGGAUGAAGGGCCAAACUUUAAAAUAAAACAAGGUAGCAUGUUUGUUUGUAGCCGGCACUUUAGUGAAUCAGACUACAAACGCUACAGCUAGCAACCAACCGGGGUCACACCAAGCGACUGAAAAUCGGGUCUGUACCCUCCCGUUUCCAGUGGAACAACUGGGGACUGCCAAGAAGGGGGUCUGUUUAUAAAAGAGCAUCAACUCGCUUAGGCCAUGACGUUCACCCAUCCCUUCCCCUGGAGCAACCGCUGCCCUGUGAAUAAGAGCCGAUGGAGGAGAUCUCAGCUUCGGUGGUGAUGACAGAACAUGAUUUCGGUUCUGCUCCUAAACCAGGUGCACUGGAUGCUGCUGCUGUAAACAUACAGCAAUUGGAAGAAACAGUCAAGGAGCUGUCACAGCUGAAAGUGGUUCAAGUGCAUUUUCACAGAUUCUGUGUCUCAGACGCGGACAUCCUUUUUUACACCAGAUUCACGUCAAGAGAUGUUUUUUGUGACUUCUGGGAGGUUAUUCAACCAUCUGCCUCCAUGUUGGUUUAUUGGUUGAAAGCUCAGAAAAAGAAACAAACAUUUGAACCCAUUUCUCCCAGUCCAACGUGUAGACUGCAACUGGUUGAGUUUUUUCUCUUCUGCUGCCGGGUUGCUGCAGGCCUGCAAGAGAAGGUGCUGGCUGACAUGUUUCAGGUCAGUGUGUCCACUGUCUACCAUGUUGUUAUACCGUGGGCCAACUACCGUUACCUGCUCCUUGGCUCCCUCCCCAUCUGGAUGAGUAAACUGCAAGUCAAGAACACCAUGCCAAGAUAAUUUGUGCAGUACAGUCCAGAUGUUCAGAGCUGACUGAACGAAGUGGACUGCUGGAUUUACUGGAGCCAGGAGAUGGCUGCAUGGCAGACAAGGGUUUCACCAUCGAGAAGCCACUAGCUGAUCGUGGGGCAACGCUGAUUAUACCACCCUUCAAGAUGACAGUUCACUGAAGAGGAUGCUCUGAAAACACAAGCAAUCGCUCGACUUCGAAUCCUCGUAGAAAGAGCAAUAGGCAGAGUCAAGGAAUACCGCAUCUGGGAACACACUGUCCUUUCACCUUGUCUGCGAAACAGUCAAUCAGCUGUGGACCGUCUGCUGUGUGAUGACCAACUUCCAGGGACCACUUGAUUUAAAAGGCUACAUCCCUGUUGAAUAGUGUUUCUACUCAAACAUGUACCUAUAAAUAUUAAAUAUAAUAUAUAAAUAUUAAAACGAGAGGCACUGAA
Molecule: long non-coding RNA, 1449 nt
Organism: Gadus macrocephalus (Pacific cod)
Lineage: Eukaryota; Metazoa; Chordata; Actinopteri; Gadiformes; Gadidae
Exons: 4
Source: RefSeq, a predicted model, not a curated record